GUUUGGAAACACCUUAGAAACAAGAUUGGCUGUACCCCGUGACUGUAAAUGGGGACUCGAGUCUAAAGUCUAAGCUCAAGGCAGCAGGGGUAGCCCGAGGUGCCUGCUGCUGCAUGGAAGGGAAGGGAGAUAGCUGGCCAGGCAAGAGUGGGUUCCAGCAAGUUCCUAAUGUAGCAGACAUUUCAUGUUUGUAUUCAUUCAUAUGUUCAUUCACAGCUAUGAGCCUAGCAGUGAGGCCCAACUCAGUUUACAAGGCUUGCAAACCAGGUGUCAACUGGCUGCCUGUGAGACAAUGCUUUUAGGUGACCAGAAGGCAAGGAUUUCCCAGUCCCUGGAAACCAGAUGCCCAUCCUCCAUGCAAACAAGUGAGGUGGAGUGUCCGUGCCAGUGCCUACACCUGCCCGGAGGCAGCUGGUCAGGUAGGCUGACCUGCAUUGUAAUUGACAGUCCACCUUACUCCCUGUGUGGCCAUGCAGGUCACCUAACCCUAGAGCCUCUGUGGCCCUCCCUGGGAUUAGGAUGACAGUCCCUCUCGCAGCAACACAGGAGAGCAGGUGCUUCCCUUCUCCCUUCCCACCACACCUGCUGCUGCUCUACCACCACCUGGGGGAUCCUUCCUCUCCCUGCCCCAUCACCGGUGGAUUCGGGGCUGACAUCUCCUAUUUGACCCUCUGAGCCUUUAAAAACAGAGGCCAGUGGCUUCCCAUCUCAGAAUAAAAUCCAGAACCCCUACCACAGACCGCAAGACCUCGCACGAGUGAGCGGUUCUCAACCCUGGCUACAUGUUAGGGUCAUCUGAAUCAAUCUGAGCUGGGGCCGGAUGGCAGUGGAUCUUAAGCACUUCCCAGGUGGAUCUAAUGGGCAGAGCCACUGCCCCACAUGAUACAUCCCUCCUGCCAUGCUGCCUGGCUCACUGUGCCCUGGCCUCACUGCCUCUCACUCAUUCUCAAGUACGUUCACCUCAGGGCCUUUGUUGGAAUACUCUGUCCCUGGCUGUCCACCUGGCCCCCUUACACAACAUAGCUCACUU
Molecule: long non-coding RNA, 1030 nt
Filed under: Pan troglodytes (chimpanzee)
Lineage: Eukaryota; Metazoa; Chordata; Mammalia; Primates; Hominidae
Description: long non-coding RNA NONPTRT001413
Source: RNAcentral